Molecule: unclassified non-coding RNA, 378 nt
Filed under: plant metagenome
Description: partial contains 5.8S ribosomal RNA, internal transcribed spacer 2, and large subunit ribosomal RNA
Rfam family: 5.8S ribosomal RNA (bases 1-105)
Source: RNAcentral
GAAAUGCGAUAAGUAAUGUGAAUUGCAGAAUUCAGUGAAUCAUCGAAUCUUUGAACGCACCUUGCGCUCCUUGGUAUUCCUUGGAGCAUGCCUGUUUGAGUAUCAUGAAAUCUUCAAAGUAAAUCUUUUGUUAACUCAAUUGGUUUCUACUUUGGUAUUGGAGGUCUUUGCAGCUUCACACCUGCUCCUCUUUGUUCAUUAGCUGGAUCUAAGUGUUAUGCUUGGUUCCACUCGGCGUGAUAAGUUAUCUAUCGCUGAGGACACUGUAAAAGGUGGCCAAGGUAAAUGCAGAUGAACCGCUUCUAAUAGUCCAUUGACUUGGACAAUACUUUUAUGAUCUGAUCUCAAAUCAGGUAGGACUACCCGCUGAACUUAAGC